This 353-nucleotide RNase P RNA is filed under the name Oscillospiraceae bacterium. Its description in RNAcentral is "RNase P RNA component class A". It matches the Rfam family "Bacterial RNase P class A". Rfam says of the family: Ribonuclease P (RNase P) is a ubiquitous endoribonuclease, found in archaea, bacteria and eukarya as well as chloroplasts and mitochondria. Lineage: Bacteria; Bacillati; Bacillota; Clostridia; Eubacteriales; Oscillospiraceae. The record is from RNAcentral.
UGAGCAAACUAAGCAGUCGCGGACGUAAAAUCGAAAGAUUGCGCCCGAGGAAAGUCCGAGCUCCACAGGGCAGGAUAACGGCUAACGGCCGCCGGGGGUGACCCUAGGGAAAGUGCAACAGAAAUAUACCGCCACAUAGUUGUGGUAAGGGUGGAAAGGCGAGGUAAGAGCUCACCAGCAUACGGGAAACUGUAUGGCUCUGCAAACCCUAUCCGGAGCAACACCGCAACAAGACAAGGUCGGGCCCGACGUAAAGGUCUUGUGAAAAAGGUGGCACUGAGCUGUUGCGGCAACGUACAGCCAAGAUAGAUGACUGUUCAAGACAGAACUCGGCUUACAGGUUUGGUCACUAU